AGCAGCAAUGCUUCUGGGGUUGAGGACCGGCAUAAUUCGAGUCAGGUCUAGUCGAACUACCUGGAAAGGUAGGCCAUAGCGCGUAAAAGCCGCGUAGGCGAAAGGCAGAGCUCGAUGGCUGGAAUCCAGAGUACCACGGGACACGAGAAACCCUGUGGGAAGCAGGGGGGACCACCCUCCAAGGCUAAAUACUCGUUGGCGACCGAUAGCGCAUAGUACCGUGAGGGAAAGGUGAAAAGCACCCCGGGAGGGGAGUGAAAGAGAACCUGAAACCGUAUGUCUACAAACAGUCAAAGACCGCAAGGUCGAUGGCGUGCCUAUUGAAGAAUGAACCGGCGAGUUACAGGUACUAGCGAGGUUAAGUGGGAAACACGGAGCCGAAGCGAAAGCGAGUCUGAAUAGGGCGUAUAGUUAGUAUUUGUAGACCCGAAACCGUAGUGAUCUAUCCAUGGCCAGGGUGAAACGUAGGUAAAAUUACGUGGAGGCCCGAACUCGUGAGCGUUGAAAAGCUUUGGGAUGAGUUGUGGAUAGGGGUGAAAAGCCAAUCGAACACGGAGAUAGCUGGUUCUCCCCGAAAUAGCUUUAGGGCUAGCCUCAAGGCAAGACUAUAGACGGUAGAGCUCUGAUCGGGCUAGGGGCCCUUUGGGUUACCGAACCCAGUCAAACUGCGAAUGACUAUAGUUAUCCUUGGGAGUCAGACUGCGAGUGCUAAGAUCCGUAGUCAAGAGGGAAACAGCCCAGACCAUCAGCUAAGGUCCCCAAUGCCGUGCUAAGUGGCAAAGGAUGUGGAACUUCACAAACAACCAGGAUGUUGGCUUAGAAGCAGCCACCAUUGAAAGAGUGCGUAAUAGCUCACUGGUCGAGAGGUUCUGCGCCGAAGAUGUCCGGGGCUCAAGCACGGAACCGAAGCUAUGGCAAGUUCUAACGAACUUGGGUAGGGGAGCGUUCUUAUUGGAUUGAAGCGGUACCGUAAGGAUCCGUGGACUGGUAAGAAGAGAGAAUGCCGGUAUGAGUAGCGAAAAGACAAGUGAGAAUCUUGUCCACCGAAAGCCUAAGGUUUCCUGAGGAAGGCUCGUCCGCUCAGGGUAAGUCGGGACCUAAGCCGAGGCGUAGAUGCGUAGGCGAUGGACAACUGGUUGAUAUUCCAGUACCGCUUUAAGUCGUUUGAGUGAUGGAGUGACACAGUAGGGUAGGCAAUCGCGAGGAUGGAAAUUCGCGUCUAAGCUUGUAGGGUGUUGUGUAGGCAAAUCCGCACAACUGGAACCUGAGAAGUGAUGGGUAGCUGUCCGUGAGGACGGCGAACUUGUUGAUCCCAGACUGUCAAGAAAAGCUUCUAGCGAGACAAGAGGCGCCCGUACCGCAAACCGACACAGGUAGGCGGGGAGAGAAUCCUAAGGUGCGCGGGAAAACCCUCGUUAAGGAACUCGGCAAAAUGUCCCCGUAACUUCGGGAAAAGGGGAGCCUGUCGGUGUGUAGGUCAGAAACGACCGAAGCAUGGGCAGGUUGCAAAAAAGAGGCCCAAGCGACUGUUUACCACAAACACAGGUGCCUGCUAAAGCGAAAGCUGACGUAUAGGUGCUGACACCUGCCCGGUGCCGGAAGGUUAAGGGGAGCGGUAAGGCGCAAGCCGAAGCUGUGAACUGAAGCCCCGGUAAACGGCGGCCGUAACUAUAACGGUCCUAAGGUAGCGAAAUUCCUUGUCGGGUAAGUUCCGACCCGCACGAAAGGUGUAACGACUUGGGCACUGUCUCAACGAGGGACCCGGUGAAAUUGAAGUACCUGUGAAGAUGCAGGUUACCCGCGACUGGACAGAAAGACCCCAUGGAGCUUUACUGUAACCUGACAUUGGAUUCUGGUGAAUGACGUACAGGAUAGGUGGGAGACUGAGAAGCUGGGACGCAAGUCUCGGUGGAGUCACCCUUGGGAUACCACCCUUCAUUCACUGGAAUUCUAACUGAAGUAGUAACGACACUCAGGACCGUGUCAGGCGGGCAGUUUGACUGGGGCGGUCGCCUCCGAAAGAGUAACGGAGGCGCCCAAAGGUUCCCUCAGCGCGGUUGGAAAUCGCGCGCAGAGUGUAAAGGCAGAAGGGAGCUUGACUGCGAGACAGACAAGUCGAGCAGGGACGAAAGUCGGGCUUAGUGAUCCGGUGGCGCCGAGUGGAAGGGCCAUCGCUCAACGGAUAAAAGCUACCCUGGGGAUAACAGGCUUAUCUCCCCCAAGAGUCCAUAUCGACGGGGAGGUUUGGCACCUCGAUGUCGGCUCAUCACAUCCUGGGGCUGAAGUAGGUCCCAAGGGUUGGGCUGUUCGCCCAUUAAAGUGGUACGUGAGCUGGGUUCAGAACGUCGUGAGACAGUUCGGUCCCUAUCCAUCGCGGGCGCAAGAGACUUGAAGGGAGCUGCUCCUAGUACGAGAGGACCGGAGUGGACGAACCGCUGGUGUACCAGUUAUCCCGCCAGGGGUACAGCUGGGUAGCUACGUUCGGAACGGAUAAACGCUGAAAGCAUCUAAGCGUGAAACCGGCCUUAAGAUGAGGUCUCUCAUUCUAACGAAGUAAGACCCCUUGUAGAUGACAAGGUUGAUAGGCCAGGUGUGGAAGUCCUG
This is a ribosomal RNA of 2604 nucleotides. It matches the Rfam family "Bacterial large subunit ribosomal RNA", at positions 279 to 2878 of the family's 2925-position model. The record is from Rfam.